Molecule: ribosomal RNA, 559 nt
Filed under: uncultured Dechloromonas sp.
Lineage: Bacteria; Pseudomonadati; Pseudomonadota; Betaproteobacteria; Rhodocyclales; Azonexaceae
Description: bacterial SSU rRNA
Rfam family: Bacterial small subunit ribosomal RNA
Source: RNAcentral
CCUACCCCUUGACAUGUCCAGGAGCCUAGAGAGAUUUGGGUGUGCCCGAAANGGGAACUGGAACACAGGUGCUGCAUGGCUGUCGUCAGCUCGUGUCGUGAGAUGUUGGGUUAAGUCCCGCAACGAGCGCAACCCUUGUCGUUAAUUGCCAUCAUUUGGUUGGGCACUUUAACGAGACUGCCGGUGACAAACCGGAGGAAGGUGGGGAUGACGUCAAGUCCUCAUGGCCCUUAUGGGUAGGGCUUCACACGUCAUACAAUGGUCGGUACAAAGGGUUGCCAAGCCGCGAGGUGGAGCUAAUCCCAGAAAGCCGAUCGUAGUCCGGAUUGCAGGCUGCAACUCGCCUGCAUGAAGUCGGAAUCGCUAGUAAUCGUGGAUCAGCAUGUCACGGUGAAUACGUUCCCGGGUCUUGUACACACCGCCCGUCACACCAUGGGAGUGGGGUCUACCAGAAGUAGGUAGCUUAACCGCAAGGAGGGCGCUUACCACGGUGAGCUUCAUGACUGGGGUGAAGUCGUAACAAGGUAGCCGUAUCGGAAGGUGCGGCUGGAUCACCUCC